RNAcentral lists this long non-coding RNA (3079 nucleotides) under Brassica napus (rape). RNAcentral describes it as "long non-coding RNA (BNAP_LNC004278)". The record is from RNAcentral. Lineage: Eukaryota; Viridiplantae; Streptophyta; Magnoliopsida; Brassicales; Brassicaceae.
GCUCCAUUUUGGUGAAUUUACCGAAUUGGAAAGAAGGGAAGGGCGGAGAAUCCAACUCGAGCCAGAGGUUUUUGCCCUUCCUACGAGCACAGACGAUGGUUUUCCCGAGGACUGACUUCUGGAAAUCGGAGGGCGAGAUUCCAUCGAUCACUUUGUUGUCGUCGGCGAUGAGGACUCGCUUGAUCUUCUUCCCGACACAGUUAUCCGCUAUCGCUCUCCUCGCCGCCUCUACCUCCGGCAGCUCUGGCAUCGUUCGCAAUUUAGGGUUUUGGUCUUGGCGCGCUUUUGGUUCCGAUUAGUCUUUGCUCUCUUCCUCGUUUAAUAUAAGCAACUUAUUAUUUGUUACUUUUUUUUACUAAUCUAAGGCUAAUUCUCAAAUUGAUUUUUUUUUUUUGUCAAGAUGAGUUAUGGAAUUUUUUUUUGAUUUUUGGUUACUCUUAAAUGUGUUGUUAGGCUCGAAACUACUUUUUAAAUAGUUUAUUGUAUAAUAGUCUUUGAGAAAAAGACUAGCAUAGCACCAAACCAAGUUUAUGUUCUCAAAGUAGCACUCAAGGUUCAAAGUCACAAAAAUAUGUUUCAUUAAAGAGGUAAAUAUACACUUAUAUCCCUUGGGUUAAUUAAUCCAAACCUUAGGGUUUAGAGUUAAGGGGUGGGGUUUUGGAAUUAGGGUUUAAAAUUUUAUAAAAAAACUUCCCUUCGGCUUCUUGUUACCAGCUUUCUCUUCAGGUUUCUUCUUAAUCGCAGCCUUCGUACCACGGCCUCUGGGUUUCACAACUUCCUCUUCAGCGUCACUUUCAUCUUCUUCACCAUCAGCAUCAUCGUCCUCAUCCUCACUAUCUUUUGUUUUUCUUUUCAGUGCAGGCUUCUUACCACGACCUUUAGGUUUUUGAUUCUUCGGUUUAGCACUAUCAUCUUCUUUCUCCAAUUCUUCUUCUUCAUCGUCUUCUUUUGAUUUUGCACCACCCCUUUUAGCCGGUUUAGCCUUGGCUGCUUUCUCCGCAUCUUUCCCAGAGAGUUUCUGCAGCUCUGGGACAUAAGCUGUUGUCUACAGAAGAAAAACAACCCAAACACAAACGUUUCUUCAGUUCACCACAUGAAUCAAACACCCAACAGUGGCCUAACAAUGUAUUAGAUACACUUACCCUUCCACCAGCAGUGAUGAAAUCAAUCUUCUUCCCUGCAAUAACCAAAACAGACAUCAUCACCAAUCACAUACUCUUACAUCAAAAAAUCAUUGUCAUGACAUUUAAGCCAACUAUUAUGUGGAUUAUCAACUAAAGUUGGAGGUUUUGAAAGAUCAAAACAUUAUAAUGAACUGGGCUCAGACCAUCAACAAAAGCUUUUCCUGGCUUCUCUUCCCUAGCAUGAAAAAUCCAGUUACUAGGAAACUGACUACUCUCUGCAUCAACUUCCACAGCUUUUUCUAUCACCUGCAAAAAAACCCCAGUUUGUCUCUUCAUCAAACUAUGCAUAGGUGGAUGAAAAAGCUUACCAUUAACAUUCCCAGGUUUUUUCCCCCACCGAAAAUGAAAUAACCAUUCAACAGGAAACUCUUUGCUAUCAGCAUUGACUUGAACCGCAUGUAGAAUAACCUACAAAUUUGUUUUUCUUUCUGUUUUCUCUCUAAGUCCCAAAUGUACAAUGCAUAAUAUGCAAGUUAACAGAUCGUUCUGUUAUGCCCAUGUUUUGUAGGUAAUGGUGUUAAGAGUAUUACCUCUUUGAUGGAUGUGUGCAAGGCUUCACAUUGCUCUUUGGAGAGGCUAGAAGCAGUCUGCAAUGGGUGGAUUCUUGCCUGCGAAAGAGAAAGACAAGCAGCAUUAACACUCUACAACAUGUAAAUCAAAUCGUAAAAUGUACAAAAAAAGUGAAUACUUUGUGAAUCAAAUGAGUGGUUGCAUAGAUGAUUCAUUUGAUCUGUAGUUUAUUUUAAUAGCUUAAAGCUCAGCUUACUUGGUACAGAACUUCAUCGGCAAUCCAGUUCCCAAUACCUGAAAUGAAACCCUGCAAAAGAAGAGGAAAACCCUCAAUCACACAGAAGAUCAUUUCAAGUUUAUUGCAGGCUUAGUUAUGUCAGUAUCCAAAUUCAAUGUUAUUUGUGAUAAUAGUAAGGACACGAAAGAUCUGAAAGAUGCAUAGAAGCCAAGAGGAAAGUGAGAAAGAAAAAUGAAACAAACUCCAAACCUGAUCAAGUAGGAGAGGUUUGAUGGUUAUUUUCUUUUUAGCUAAGCUUUUGGCAAAUUCAUCAACUGUCAUAGGCUCCAACAAUGCAUCAGGACCAAGCUCUGAUAUUGGACGCACAGAAACGGGCUGCAAUAGCACAAACAUCCCAACCACAAGAUCAAGCUUAGUAAAGAAAGCAAGCAAGAUAAGAGUUAAUACAUUUUCCAAAAGCCGAACUUUGGCAAAUCUCCUCUUGUCAGUAAAUGAAAGCUCUAAACCAUCAUCAAGCUGCAAACAUCAAAAUGAAGCAAGUAGUGAACACAUCUUCGAGUCAGUAAUCAAUUAAAAACAAGACUUUUUUCCAACCUCAACAAAGAACUUAGAGUACUUAGAAGGCCACUCCUCUGAAUCCUUAACAGCAGACCUAUACAAACAAUGCAUAUACACAACAUCAAUCUUUAAUCCAUAGGAACUAAACAAUGUAUAACCCAUUCACCUUUUAUAUUUAGUAACAGCAACGCCUUUGAUGUAGAUAGCACCAGCCAUACCUGAACAAACCCCAAAACCAAUAAAGGUCGAGACUUUUAACUAUGAACAGUGCUCCAUUUUGGUGAAUUUACCGAAUUGGAAAGAAGGGAAGGGCGGAGAAUCCAACUCGAGCCAGAGGUUUUUGCCCUUCCUACGAGCACAGACGAUGGUUUUCCCGAGGACUGACUUCUGGAAAUCGGAGGGCGAGAUUCCAUCGAUCACUUUGUUGUCGUCGGCGAUGAGGACUCGCUUGAUCUUCUUCCCGACACAGUUAUCCGCUAUCGCUCUCCUCGCCGCCUCUACCUCCGGCAGCUCUGGCAUCGUUCGCAAUUUAGGGUUUUGGUCUUGGCGCGCUUUUGGUUCCGAUUAGUCUUUGCUCUCUUCCUCGUUU